This 458-nucleotide ribosomal RNA is filed under the name uncultured bacterium. RNAcentral's name for it is "bacterial SSU rRNA". It matches the Rfam family "Bacterial small subunit ribosomal RNA", at positions 923 to 1379 of the family's 1533-position model. The record is from RNAcentral.
GCACAAGCGGUGGAGCAUGUGGUUCAAUUCGACGCAACGCGAAGAACCUUACCUGGGCUCGAAAUGUAGUGGAAUGAGGUAGAAAUAUCUCCGUCUCGCAAGAGACUGCUAUAUAGGUGCUGCAUGGCUGUCGUCAGCUCGUGUCGUGAGAUGUUGGGUUAAGUCCCGCAACGAGCGCAACCCUUAUCUUUAGUUGCCAUCAGGUCAAGCUGGGCACUCUAACGAAACCGCCUCGGAUAACGGGGAGGAAGGUGGGGAUGACGUCAAGUCCUCAUGGCCUUUAUGUCCAGGGCUACACACGUGCUACAAUGGCCGGUACAAACCGUCGCAAACCCGCGAGGGGGAGCUAAUCGGAAAAAGCCGGCCUCAGUUCGGAUUGGAGUCUGCAACCCGACUCCAUGAAGCUGGAAUCGCUAGUAAUCGCGGAUCAGAACGCCGCGGUGAAUACGUUCCCGGGC